AAAGUCAACUUAAAGUUUAUUACUGUCCAAUGAGUGCACAGUGAGGGCACUACUGCUAACGCCUACACAAGACACCCACAUCAACUAGAGCUUUGCUUUACUUUGGUGCAAUUUUUGGAAAA
Small nuclear RNA from Pan troglodytes (chimpanzee), 122 nucleotides. NCBI's taxonomy places the organism in Eukaryota, Metazoa, Chordata, Mammalia, Primates, Hominidae. The record is from Ensembl.